GUCCCCUUCGUCUAGAGGUAGGACAUCACCCUUUCACGGUGGCAACAGGGGUUCAACCCCCCUAGGGGACA
This is a transfer RNA of 71 nucleotides. It matches the Rfam family "tRNA". From Rfam's summary of the family: Transfer RNA (tRNA) molecules are approximately 80 nucleotides in length. Their secondary structure includes four short double-helical elements and three loops (D, anti-codon, and T loops). Further hydrogen bonds mediate the characteristic L-shaped molecular structure. tRNAs have two regions of fundamental functional importance: the anti-codon, which is responsible for specific mRNA codon recognition, and the 3' end, to which the tRNAs corresponding amino acid is attached (by aminoacyl-tRNA synthetases). tRNAs cope with the degeneracy of the genetic code in two manners: having more than one tRNA (with a specific anti-codon) for a particular amino acid; and 'wobble' base-pairing, i.e. permitting non-standard base-pairing at the 3rd anti-codon position.